Cyanistes caeruleus (blue tit) is the source of this 392-nucleotide long non-coding RNA. RefSeq lists it as uncharacterized. The record is from RefSeq and is a predicted model, not a curated record. NCBI's taxonomy places the organism in Eukaryota, Metazoa, Chordata, Aves, Passeriformes, Paridae.
GGAAAAAUGUAGUCAGUGUGGUAGCAGUUUGACUACUCAGGCUGUCAUUGUGGAGCAGGGUACCCGCAGAUGAACUCUCAAACACUGAAAGCAGUAGUCUGGAACAGGAAUAUAAACUUCUCCCUUGACUUACUUCAAAGGUGCAGAUUGCUGAGUAUCCAUGCAGCUGGGCAGAAAAAGAACCAUCUAACAAAUGUGUUGAUAUUCUUCAUGACUGCGACUGGAGAGAAGAGAGAAAACAACUGAAACAACUAAAGCUGAAGUAACAAAUGAAGAAUCUGUAAAGGUAACCUUGAAGAUUUUCUGUGGAACUGAACUUCAGGUAUAGUUUUACAAGGAGUAGUAGGUCUUUAUAAAAAGCACCACAGUAUCCUAUAACAAAAUUCUUGCUA